GACAGCAGUAGCCGCGGUAAAACAGAGGGUGCGAGCGUUAAUCGGAUUUACUGGGCGUAAAGCGUGCGUAGGCGGCUUUUUAAGUCGGAUGUGAAAUCCCUGAGCUUAACUUAGGAAUUGCAUUCGAUACUGGGAAGCUAGAGUAUGGGAGAGGAUGGUAGAAUUCCAGGUGUAGCGGUGAAAUGCGUAGAGAUCUGGAGGAAUACCGAUGGCGAAGGCAGCCAUCUGGCCUAAUACUGACGCUGAGGUACGAAAGCAUGGGGAGCAAACAGGAUUAGAUACCCCGGUAGUCCCUGUCUCUUAUAA
This 306-nucleotide ribosomal RNA is filed under the name uncultured bacterium. RNAcentral describes it as "partial 16S ribosomal RNA". It matches the Rfam family "Bacterial small subunit ribosomal RNA", at positions 507 to 809 of the family's 1533-position model. The record is from RNAcentral.